This 342-nucleotide unclassified non-coding RNA is filed under the name soil metagenome. RNAcentral describes it as "partial contains 5.8S ribosomal RNA, internal transcribed spacer 2, and large subunit ribosomal RNA". The stretch from base 1 to 120 matches the Rfam family "5.8S ribosomal RNA", at positions 35 to 154 of the family's 154-position model. The record is from RNAcentral.
GAUGAAGAACGUAGCGAAAUGCGAUAAGUAAUGUGAAUUGCAGAAUCCAGUGAAUCAUCGAAUCUUUGAACGCACAUUGCGCCCGCCAGCAUUCUGGCGGGCAUGCCUGUUCGAGCGUCAUUUCAACCCUCGACCUCCCUUUGGGGAAGUCGGCGUUGGGGACCGGCAGCACACCGCCGGCCCUGAAAUGGAGUGGCGGCCCGUCCGCGGCGACCUCUGCGUAGUAAUCCAACUCGCACCGGAACCCCGACGCGGCCACGCCGUAAAACACCCAACUUCUGAACGUUGACCUCGAAUCAGGUAGGACUACCCGCUGAACUUAAGCAUAUCAAAAGCGGAGGA